GGCGAAAGAGCGAGUAAAAGCUUCAGAAGACGAAAAUGGAGCGACUCCAUCGAAGCGGCAACACAAAUCAAAAUCCAAAAGAGAAGAUGAAUCUGAAUCCGAACCGGAACGAGAAGUGAGAAAACACCGCAGAAAGAGAAGUCGAAGUUCUAGAAGAAGAUCGCGGGAUGAUUAUGACGAUUCGGAUUCUUCAUCAUCUGGAGAAGAUUCGUAUUCGGACUCUGAAGACUCGUAUUCGGAUUCAGAGUCGGGUAGUAGUUCGGAGUAUUCGGAUUCGGAAGAGGAGAGGAGGCGUAGAAAGAGGAGAGAUAGGAAGAGAAGAGA
This 324-nucleotide unclassified non-coding RNA is filed under the name Hevea brasiliensis (rubber tree). The record is from RNAcentral. Lineage: Eukaryota; Viridiplantae; Streptophyta; Magnoliopsida; Malpighiales; Euphorbiaceae.